ACAUCGCCUCUUGAUGAACUAUAAGAGGUCCAGCCUGCCCAGUGACGUAGUUAAACGGCCGCGGUACCCUGACCGUGCGAAGGUAGCAUAAUCACUUGUUCUUUAAAUAAGGACUAGUAUCAACGGCAUCACGAGGGCUAUACUGUCUCCCCCCUCUAAUCAGUGAAACUGACUUCCCCGUGAAGAGGCGGGGAUAAACUUACAAGACGAGAAGACCCCAUGGAGCUUUAAACUCAAUAACAACCUUUAUACAACAAACCCUUAAAGCUAAAAGGCAGUGUUUAUUAGUUUUAGGUUGGGGUGACCACGGAGUAAAACCUAUCCUCCACGACGAAUAGAUUUCAUCCUAAUCCAAGAGCGACUGCUCUAAGAAUCAAAAAAUUUGACGUAAGCUGAUCCGGUAACCGAUCAACGAACCAAGUUACCCUGGGGAUAACAGCGCAAUCCAUCCCAAGAGCCCCUAUCGACGGAUGGGUUUACGACCUCGAUGUUGGAUCAGGGUAUCCCAGUGGUGCAGCCGCUACUAAAGGUUUGUUUGUUCAACAAUUAAAACCCUACGUGAUCUGAGUUCAGA
Molecule: ribosomal RNA, 574 nt
Filed under: Limnonectes cf. sisikdagu ENS18532
Lineage: Eukaryota; Metazoa; Chordata; Amphibia; Anura; Dicroglossidae
Description: partial large subunit ribosomal RNA
Rfam family: Bacterial large subunit ribosomal RNA
Source: RNAcentral